This 22-nucleotide microRNA is filed under the name Ananas comosus (pineapple). Its description in RNAcentral is "microRNA s0085_c040". The record is from RNAcentral. Lineage: Eukaryota; Viridiplantae; Streptophyta; Magnoliopsida; Poales; Bromeliaceae.
AUCACAUUAUUUCAAAUUCCCC